AGUGAACGCUGGCGGCGUGCCUAAUACAUGCAAGUCGAACGAUGAAGUCCUAGCUUGCUCGGAUGGAUUAGUGGCGCACGGGUGAGUAAUAUAUAGUUAAUCUGCCCUACACAUAGGAACAACAGUUGGAAACGACUGCUAAUACCUCAUACUCCUAUUUGCCAUAUGUUAAAUAGUGAAAGUCUUCUCGGUGUAGGAUGAGACUAUAUCGUAUCAGCUAGUUGGUAAGGUAAUGGCUUACCAAGGCUAUGACGCGUAACUGGUCUGAGAGGAUGAUCAGUCACAUUGGAACUGAGACACGGUCCAAACUCCUACGGGAGGCAGCAGUAAGGAAUAUUGCGCAAUGGGGGAAACACUGACGCAGCAACGCCGCGUGAAGGAUGACACUUGUCGGAGCGCAAACUCCUUUUAUCAGGAAAGAAUAAUGACGGUACCUGAUGAAUAAGCACCGGCUAACUCCGUG
RNAcentral lists this ribosomal RNA (463 nucleotides) under uncultured bacterium. RNAcentral's name for it is "partial 16S ribosomal RNA". It matches the Rfam family "Bacterial small subunit ribosomal RNA", at positions 29 to 507 of the family's 1533-position model. The record is from RNAcentral.